UACGGAGGGUGCAAGCGUUAUCCGGAUUCACUGGGUUUAAAGGGUGCGUAGGCGGACAGGUAAGUCAGUGGUGAAAUCUCUGGGCUUAACUCAGAAACUGCCGUUGAUACUAUUUGUCUUGAAUAUCCUGGAGGUAGGCGGAAUAUGUCAUGUAGCGGUGAAAUGCGUAGAUAUGCGGAGGAACACCGAUGGCGAAGGCAAUCCCCUGGACCUGUACUGACGCUCAUGCACGAAAGCGUGGGGAGCAAACAGG
This 253-nucleotide ribosomal RNA is filed under the name uncultured prokaryote. RNAcentral's name for it is "partial 16S ribosomal RNA". It matches the Rfam family "Bacterial small subunit ribosomal RNA", at positions 524 to 776 of the family's 1533-position model. The record is from RNAcentral.